Molecule: unclassified non-coding RNA, 371 nt
Filed under: Hevea brasiliensis (rubber tree)
Lineage: Eukaryota; Viridiplantae; Streptophyta; Magnoliopsida; Malpighiales; Euphorbiaceae
Source: RNAcentral
GGCAAAGAGACGCAGAGCUGCAACUUAAGGAGGGCCAGUACUUUUCAAGAAUUGGGAGUAAAGAAUACACCUUUUUCACAUCAAAAUCUGGACCUUCGCAGCAUGAUGGCCAGCUUCCAUCAUUGUAAUCUGGCCAGAGCCCAUGAAUGGUAAAUUCGGUCAGAAGAGCCGAGCGGCAGCAUCCGUUUUGGGGACAGCAGUAGUGAGUGCGGGCGCAGAAGGUGCCGGGCCAUUGGAGGGAGAGGGCGAAGUAAUCGAACUCCCGCUGCUCCGCCAGCAGCCCCACCUCGCUGGGGAGGCGGAGGACGGAUUCCGGAGCAACGGCGGCGACGGCGGCAACGAGGAGGGAGAUGAGAGAGAGGAGGGGAAGG